GCGCGCGGCGGCGGUCCGGUGGCCGGGAGCCUGGCGUUAAGGAUUCUUUCCCCUCCUAACAGGUUCCUGCGUUAGCCGCCGUGAGGUGGCCUCCAAGUUGGAGCCAGGAAUAAAGCUGUGGUGGUGGAAGAAGCCCUCGCCUGAGCCUCUCAGGUCCGUCAGCGCCUUCCAAGUCGGAGGCUGGGACUAGGAGGAGUCAGCGGAGGUGCUGCGCGCUUCUCCCGGUUCGUCCUGCGGUCCCGGUCUUGAGGAGAGUUGGUUCAGACGUCAGACACCGGCAUCUGCAGUCUCCAUGGUGCCCACAACAGCCAGAGCCAGACCAGGGUGAGGCCCAGAUCCUGAAACUCCAUUCAUGUCUCUCAUGCACACAAGAGACUCAGGCAAAGUUACAGAGAGGCAGAGGCAGAGAGAGAGAAGUCUUCCAUCUACUGGUUCACUCCCCAACUGGCUGUGGUGGCCAGAGCUGGGCUGAUCUGAAGCCAGGAGCCAGGAGCUUAUUUCAGGUAUCUCAAGUGGGUGCAGGGGCCCAGGGACCUGUGCCAUCUUCUACUGCUUUCCCAGGCCAUAGCAGAGAGCUGGUCAGAAGUUGAGCAGCCGGGACUAGAACCAUUGCCCAUGUGGGAUGCUGGCACUGCAGUCAGCAGCUUUCCCCCUAUACCACAGUGUGGCCCCCUGCAAUGUAUUUUUAAUUACUGCUUUAAUCUCUGUCAUUUCUUUUUCCUGAUGAUUUUCUUAUUUAGUGUUUUUCCUAAUUU
Molecule: long non-coding RNA, 755 nt
Organism: Lepus europaeus (European hare)
Lineage: Eukaryota; Metazoa; Chordata; Mammalia; Lagomorpha; Leporidae
Exons: 3
Source: RefSeq, a predicted model, not a curated record